CAGCCGCCACGGUAAUACGAAGGGGGCUAGCGUUGUUCGGAUUAACUGGGCGUAAAGGGCGCGUAGGCGGGUUUUUAAGUCAGAGGUGAAAUCCCAAGGCUCAACCUUGGAACUGCCUUUGAUACUGGAAGUCUUGAGUCCGGGAGAGGUGAGUGGAACUGCGAGUGUAGAGGUGAAAUUCGUAGAUAUUCGCAGGAACACCAGUGGCGAAGGCGGCUCUCUGGACGACUGUUGACGCUGAGGUGCGAAAGCGUGGGGAGCAAACAGGAUUAGAUACCCGUGUAGUCCCUGUCUCUUAUAC
RNAcentral lists this ribosomal RNA (301 nucleotides) under uncultured bacterium. RNAcentral's name for it is "partial 16S ribosomal RNA". It matches the Rfam family "Bacterial small subunit ribosomal RNA", at positions 509 to 807 of the family's 1533-position model. The record is from RNAcentral.